This 253-nucleotide ribosomal RNA is filed under the name uncultured bacterium. Its description in RNAcentral is "partial 16S ribosomal RNA". It matches the Rfam family "Bacterial small subunit ribosomal RNA", at positions 524 to 776 of the family's 1533-position model. The record is from RNAcentral.
UACAGAGGUCUCAAGCGUUGCUCGGAUUCAUUGGGCGUAAAGGGUGCGUAGGUGGCGCCGUAAGUCAGGUGUGAAAUUUCGGAGCUUAACUCCGAAACUGCAUUUGAUACUGCGGUGCUUGAGGACUGGAGAGGAGACUGGAAUUCACGGUGUAGCAGUGAAAUGCGUAGAUAUUGGGAGGAACACCAGUGGCGAAGGCGGGUCUCUGGACAGUUCCUGACGCUGAGGCACGAAGGUCAGGGGAGCAAACGGG